GACGAACGCUGGCGGCGUGCUUAACACAUGCAAGUCGAACGAAGUGGCGAACGGGUGAGUAAUACGUGGGUAACCUGCCCUCCUUUUUGGGAUAAUCCUUGGAAACGGGGUCUAAUACCGAAUAAAGGGGGAUGGGCUCGCGGGCUAUCAGCUUGUUGGUGGGGUGAUGGCCUACCAAGGUGGUGACGGGUAGCCGGCCUGAGAGGGGGAUCGGCGACAUUGGGGGUGAGAUACGGCCCAGACGACUACGGGAGGCAGCAGUGGGGGAUAUUGCAAGAUGGGGGAAAGCCUGAUGCAGCGCGGCCGAGAGGGGGAUGAAGGCUUGCGGGUUGUAGACCUCUUUCGUUAUCGAACGGGUCGGUGGAGAAGAAGCGCCGGAUAACUACGUGCCAGCCGCCGGGGUAAUAC
RNAcentral lists this ribosomal RNA (408 nucleotides) under uncultured bacterium. RNAcentral's name for it is "partial 16S ribosomal RNA". It matches the Rfam family "Bacterial small subunit ribosomal RNA", at positions 28 to 526 of the family's 1533-position model. The record is from RNAcentral.